UAAUGGUAUAACUUGUUAGGAUUUUAAAAAUAUUCAUAAUUUAUCUAAUAUCCUCAUGAAUACCUUCUUAGGCCAUAAGGUUUAGAGCAGGAAUUCCUGUUAAGACUAGGACACAAAUAUGUGUGUAACUUAUGGCAGAACAGCACAAGACCCUAACCUUCACCAGGUGUUCGGUAAAGGUGAAUUCAUGGAAAGAAAUUCUAUGGUACUUGCUACCCCAACUACUCAUUUGUCAUAUGCCAUCUGAGGACCAAUGAUGUUGGUUAUCUGUUCAUGUAAGUAUCCACUGCUUCUCUCCCUGUGUUUUAAGGUCAAUGUAUAUCUCCCACAAAGUUCAGCAUUUAGUAAAGGCAUGAUGAGUGUCUACAGCCUGGCGAGGGGAAUUAUUCUCUAAUUAAAUGAGACUUAUUCCAAAGUCUCAUUAGGUCACUUUGGUUAAAGUGCACUUGGAUCUGUAAAUUCCACAAAGUAGAAUGUUCCUGGAGUGAGAAUUCUUGUAUCUGGGGUAACUAGCGGAAGAAACUCUUCAAACUAUGCAUCCUGAGCAGGUACCUUCUUUACCUGUGAAUGCCUCUGGGGAAAGAUGAAGAGUACAUACUUUUCAAAUAGAUGGGAUCUCUAUGUUGCCUAGGUUGGACUCAAAUCCCCACGCUCAAGCCUCAGCCUUGCACCUGGAACUACAAACAUGCAUCACCAUGCCUAGCUAAUAGUGGACUUUGGAUUGAUACAUAUAUAAGCCUCAGACUUUCAAAAUCACAAGGUAGAUGAGGAAACAGAGACUCAGAAAGAUCAUGCAACUUCACCAAGACCCCACUGCAAAAUCUUCUUGGGCCAUUACUCCCUCGGAGAGAAGCAAAUCCUUCGUAGGGAAUACUGGAUGUGCCUGUAACAAACUGUCAACCCAAGAAAACAGAAGGAGAAGGUGAAGCCAGAGACCAACAGCUAGGAAAGGCAUCACGUCAUUCAUGGGCAGAGCUCCUGAAGAAUAGUAGGCAGGAGAGUUCUGAAGACAAAACUUCAUAGGCGUGGAAUAACCACAACACAAUUCUGACACAGAGCCAGAAGAAAAUACUAAGAAAGGACUGUGCAUGAUAAAGGCAAAGGGGAUGUGAAGGGUUUGUAGAAAAUAAAGCACCUGAUGCAGCUCAAACCAGGCACAUUUCCCGCUAUAGAUGAAUAAAGAGUCUCAGUUAAUAUCAAUUAACCCGAGUCUAUUUAGCAUCAGUCCCUGAUCAAUAUCGGAUGAAUUUAAAAAAGAGAAUGUCUGGGCCUGCAAUUUUGAGGCCCACACCCUUAACCCAAAGAUCCAGAGUUCUUGUAAAGCUCUGCCUGAGCAUCCAGAGGCUUCUUCAUGUCUGGUAUCUCUUUAGCUGCAACCAACCAGCGAUUGACUGUAAACACCACAAAUAAAAAAACAAGUUUGCUUUCUCAGUGUUCUUGAAUGUCACUGUUUUCUCAAAGUUGUGGAAAGUUAGAUGAAACAGAAUAAAGAACUGUUUAUCAACUAACUGCAUCCCUUUUUCAAGGACUGGAGAUCAUGUCUUUCUGCUGCUAGGGAUGCCAGCCUGCACUUUGGGUACCCUGGGUGCCUCUUGCUGAAGGGACCAAACUGUCCUGAAGGCAGAUACUGUUACUGGGAUUCUUGGACUGGGCUUGACACUUCGCUACAAUUCUGAUGAAAUGCUUUAACUUGGCUGGGGAUGUUCUGAAUAGCCAUGGAGUCACAUAACCAUGCAAUUAGGAGUCUAGAAAUGGUGUAUCUCACAUUUCCAGAUACACACGGUCUAUUUCAGCUGUGCCUGCGAUGACCAAUUCCAGUUCUCUUGCAUCAAAAACAGAUACCAGCCUGGCAUCCACCACCUGUGGAAUAAGAAGAGUACAAGGCGUGCCUUAAGACCCUGGAGAAAUAUCAGCUGUAAUUAAACCUUAGAAAAGAGGACAUAUGGAGUUUCAGAAAUAAUAUGUGUGUACCUUGUGUUGGCACGUGAAAACCUGUCACACUCCCUACGAAUAUAAGGUAUUCUUUAGUAUAAGGUUGAUGAGAUUUGCCUUGACAGAAUUUUUGUUUUAUAAUUGACUGCUGAUUCAUCUAGGUCCUGUCUACCUUUAGGAAAAUAUCUAGUGUUUCUACAGAAAAAGUCACAUGAAAUACAUACCAACUCAUUCUGACCCUCAGAUAUAAUUAUUUCACAUAGCAGGCAUGAGAUUUGAUUACCAGUAUCUAAGCAAAAGAUGGAUGCUUAAAUGUUCCUAGUGGUUGUUAAAUCAACAAAUGCUACUUCAACUCAGUUCAUAACAUUUAUUUCAGUGAUUUCUUGUAGCAGUGAGUUAAGCUUUUUUUUUUUUGUGCUCUUGAAACAUAUGGGAAAAAUACGGAACUUUUCUCAUAGAAAGAGAAACAGUAAAUACAGCAGAAACAGCCUACACUUGUAAAGUGCAAUAAGAUGGAUUAUAGCCUCAUUGAUAUCAGACUGCAAACUCCUGCUACUUCUGAUUAUCUUUACCUCAU
Long non-coding RNA from Callithrix jacchus (white-tufted-ear marmoset), 2509 nucleotides. RefSeq lists it as uncharacterized. The record is from RefSeq and is a predicted model, not a curated record. Lineage: Eukaryota; Metazoa; Chordata; Mammalia; Primates; Cebidae.